UGUUGGUAUCUUAGUGGCGGACGGGUGAGUAACGCGUGGGUAACCUGCCUUACACUGGGGGAUAACACUUAGAAAUAGGUGCUAAUACCGCAUAACAGGGGAAGAUGCAUGUCUUUUCCUUAAAAACUCCGGUGGUGUAAGAUGGACCCGCGUCUGAUUAGCUAGUUGGCGGGGUAACGGCCCACCAAGGCGACGAUCAGUAGCCGGCCUGAGAGGGUGAACGGCCACAUUGGGACUGAGACACGGCCCAAACUCCUACGGAAGGCAGCAG
Molecule: ribosomal RNA, 271 nt
Filed under: uncultured bacterium
Lineage: Bacteria
Description: partial 16S ribosomal RNA
Rfam family: Bacterial small subunit ribosomal RNA
Source: RNAcentral